UACGUAGGGUCCGAGCGUUGUCCGGAAUUAUUGGGCGUAAAGGGCUCGUAGGCGGUUUGUCGCGUCGGGAGUGAAAACAUCUGGCUUAACUGGGUGCUUGCUUUCGAUACGGGCAGACUGGAGGUAUGCAGGGGAGAACGGAAUUCCUGGUGUAGCGGUGAAAUGCGCAGAUAUCAGGAGGAACACCGGUGGCGAAGGCGGUUCUCUGGGACGGUACUGACGCUGAGACGCGAAAGCGUGGGGAGCGAACAGG
RNAcentral lists this ribosomal RNA (253 nucleotides) under uncultured bacterium. RNAcentral describes it as "partial 16S ribosomal RNA". It matches the Rfam family "Bacterial small subunit ribosomal RNA", at positions 524 to 776 of the family's 1533-position model. The record is from RNAcentral.